AUCCAGCUGACAAGUCCCAACUAGGACGAAACGCGCAUUCUGGAU
RNAcentral lists this non-coding RNA (45 nucleotides) under Schistosoma haematobium. The record is from RNAcentral. Lineage: Eukaryota; Metazoa; Platyhelminthes; Trematoda; Strigeidida; Schistosomatidae.